RNAcentral lists this ribosomal RNA (306 nucleotides) under Triticum aestivum (bread wheat). RNAcentral's name for it is "partial small subunit ribosomal RNA". The record is from RNAcentral. Lineage: Eukaryota; Viridiplantae; Streptophyta; Magnoliopsida; Poales; Poaceae.
AUGACUCUAUAUGAAUGCCUUCUGCGGUGUAUCAGGAUGGGCAAUGAAACAAGAGUGACAUGUAUGAAAUUAUGCAUGGUGGCUUUGCCAGAAAUACGAUGUCAACUACAUGAUCAUGCAAGACAAUAUAAUAAUGAUGAAGCGUGUCAUAAUAAACGAAACGGUGGAAAGUUGCAUGGCAAUAUAUCUCGGAAUGGCUACGAAAAUGCCAUAAUAGGUAGGUAUGAUGCCUGUUUUGGGGAAGAUAUAAGGAGGUUUAUGUGGGUUUGGAUGCACCAGCGAAGUUUUCUCCAACUCUCAAGGUGA